UACGUAGGGGACAAGCGUUGUCCGGAAUUAUUGGGCGUAAAGCGCGCGCAGGCGGUCCUUUAAGUCUGAUGUGAAAGCCCACGGCUCAACCGUGGAGGGUCAUUGGAAACUGGGGGACUUGAGUGCAGAAGAGGAAAGCGGAAUUCCACGUGUAGCGGUGAAAUGCGUAGAGAUGUGGAGGAACACCAGUGGCGAAGGCGGCUUUCUGGUCUGUAACUGACGCUGAGGCGCGAAAGCGUGGGGAGCAAACAGG
Molecule: ribosomal RNA, 253 nt
Filed under: uncultured bacterium
Lineage: Bacteria
Description: partial 16S ribosomal RNA
Rfam family: Bacterial small subunit ribosomal RNA
Source: RNAcentral